GACUGAAGGUGCAAGCGUUGUUCGGAAUCACUGGGCGUAAAGCGCGUGUAGGCGGUUCGAUAAGUCGGACGUGAAAGCCCGGGGCUUAACCCCGGAAGGGCAUCCGAAACUGUCGAGCUUGAGUACGGGAGAGGGAAGCGGAAUUCCUGGUGUAGAGGUGAAAUUCGUAGAUAUCAGGAGGAACACCGGUGGCGAAGGCGGCUUCCUGGACCGAUACUGACGCUGAGACGCGCAAGCGGGGGGAGCACACAGGAGGAGAUAACCGUGUAGUCC
This 273-nucleotide ribosomal RNA is filed under the name uncultured bacterium. RNAcentral describes it as "partial 16S ribosomal RNA". It matches the Rfam family "Bacterial small subunit ribosomal RNA", at positions 524 to 796 of the family's 1533-position model. The record is from RNAcentral.